This 253-nucleotide ribosomal RNA is filed under the name uncultured bacterium. Its description in RNAcentral is "partial 16S ribosomal RNA". It matches the Rfam family "Bacterial small subunit ribosomal RNA", at positions 524 to 776 of the family's 1533-position model. The record is from RNAcentral.
UACGGAAUGUGCAAACGUUAUUCGGAAUCACUGGGCUUAAAGAGUCCGUAGGCGGCUUGUUAGGUGAGGUGUGAAAUCCCCCGGCUCAACCGAGGAAUUGCGCUUCAAACCGGCAAGCUUGAGGAGGAUAGAGGUGGGCGGAACUGAUGGUGGAGCGGUGAAAUGCAUAGAUAUCGUCAAGAACACCUAUAGCGAAGGCAGCUUACUGGGCUGUAACUGACGCUGAGGCACGAAAGUGUGGGGAUCAAACAGG